UCGUAGCUCAGUCGGUAGAGCAACACAUCGGUAAUGUGUAGGUCGCGGGUUCGAUUCCCGCCGUUA
RNAcentral lists this transfer RNA (66 nucleotides) under pig gut metagenome. It matches the Rfam family "tRNA", at positions 6 to 65 of the family's 71-position model. Rfam says of the family: Transfer RNA (tRNA) molecules are approximately 80 nucleotides in length. The record is from RNAcentral.